This 2642-nucleotide ribosomal RNA is filed under the name Escherichia coli 2720900. Its description in RNAcentral is "bacterial LSU rRNA". It matches the Rfam family "Bacterial large subunit ribosomal RNA", at positions 296 to 2925 of the family's 2925-position model. The record is from RNAcentral. Lineage: Bacteria; Pseudomonadati; Pseudomonadota; Gammaproteobacteria; Enterobacterales; Enterobacteriaceae.
AGCAGCCCAGAGCCUGAAUCAGUGUGUGUGUUAGUGGAAGCGUCUGGAAAGGCGCGCGAUACAGGGUGACAGCCCCGUACACAAAAAUGCACAUGCUGUGAGCUCGAUGAGUAGGGCGGGACACGUGGUAUCCUGUCUGAAUAUGGGGGGACCAUCCUCCAAGGCUAAAUACUCCUGACUGACCGAUAGUGAACCAGUACCGCGAGGGAAAGGCGAAAAGAACCCCGGCGAGGGGAGUGAAAAAGAACCUGAAACCGUGUACGUACAAGCAGUGGGAGCACGCUUAGGCGUGUGACUGCGUACCUUUUGUAUAAUGGGUCAGCGACUUAUAUUCUGUAGCAAGGUUAACCGAAUAGGGGAGCCGAAGGGAAACCGAGUCUUAACUGGGCGUUAAGUUGCAGGGUAUAGACCCGAAACCCGGUGAUCUAGCCAUGGGCAGGUUGAAGGUUGGGUAACACUAACUGGAGGACCGAACCGACUAAUGUCGAAAAAUUAGCGGAUGACUUGUGGCUGGGGGUGAAGGGCCAAUCAAACCGGGAGAUAGCUGGUUCUCCCCGAAAGCUAUUUAGGUAGCGCCUCGUGAAUUCAUCUCCGGGGGUAGAGCACUGUUUCGGCAAGGGGGUCAUCCCGACUUACCAACCCGAUGCAAACUGCGAAUACCGGAGAAUGUUAUCACGGGAGACACACGGCGGGUGCUAACGUCCGUCGUGAAGAGGGAAACAACCCAGACCGCCAGCUAAGGUCCCAAAGUCAUGGUUAAGUGGGAAACGAUGUGGGAAGGCCCAGACAGCCAGGAUGUUGGCUUAGAAGCAGCCAUCAUUUAAAGAAAGCGUAAUAGCUCACUGGUCGAGUCGGCCUGCGCGGAAGAUGUAACGGGGCUAAACCAUGCACCGAAGCUGCGGCAGCGACACUAUGUGUUGUUGGGUAGGGGAGCGUUCUGUAAGCCUGUGAAGGUGUACUGUGAGGUAUGCUGGAGGUAUCAGAAGUGCGAAUGCUGACAUAAGUAACGAUAAAGCGGGUGAAAAGCCCGCUCGCCGGAAGACCAAGGGUUCCUGUCCAACGUUAAUCGGGGCAGGGUGAGUCGACCCCUAAGGCGAGGCCGAAAGGCGUAGUCGAUGGGAAACAGGUUAAUAUUCCUGUACUUGGUGUUACUGCGAAGGGGGGACGGAGAAGGCUAUGUUGGCCGGGCGACGGUUGUCCCGGUUUAAGCGUGUAGGCUGGUUUUCCAGGCAAAUCCGGAAAAUCAAGGCUGAGGCGUGAUGACGAGGCACUACGGUGCUGAAGCAACAAAUGCCCUGCUUCCAGGAAAAGCCUCUAAGCAUCAGGUAACAUCAAAUCGUACCCCAAACCGACACAGGUGGUCAGGUAGAGAAUACCAAGGCGCUUGAGAGAACUCGGGUGAAGGAACUAGGCAAAAUGGUGCCGUAACUUCGGGAGAAGGCACGCUGAUAUGUAGGUGAAGUCCCUCGCGGAUGGAGCUGAAAUCAGUCGAAGAUACCAGCUGGCUGCAACUGUUUAUUAAAAACACAGCACUGUGCAAACACGAAAGUGGACGUAUACGGUGUGACGCCUGCCCGGUGCCGGAAGGUUAAUUGAUGGGGUUAGCGCAAGCGAAGCUCUUGAUCGAAGCCCCGGUAAACGGCGGCCGUAACUAUAACGGUCCUAAGGUAGCGAAAUUCCUUGUCGGGUAAGUUCCGACCUGCACGAAUGGCGUAAUGAUGGCCAGGCUGUCUCCACCCGAGACUCAGUGAAAUUGAACUCGCUGUGAAGAUGCAGUGUACCCGCGGCAAGACGGAAAGACCCCGUGAACCUUUACUAUAGCUUGACACUGAACAUUGAGCCUUGAUGUGUAGGAUAGGUGGGAGGCUUUGAAGUGUGGACGCCAGUCUGCAUGGAGCCGACCUUGAAAUACCACCCUUUAAUGUUUGAUGUUCUAACGUUGACCCGUGAUCCGGGUUGCGGACAGUGUCUGGUGGGUAGUUUGACUGGGGCGGUCUCCUCCUAAAGAGUAACGGAGGAGCACGAAGGUUGGCUAAUCCUGGUCGGACAUCAGGAGGUUAGUGCAAUGGCAUAAGCCAGCUUGACUGCGAGCGUGACGGCGCGAGCAGGUGCGAAAGCAGGUCAUAGUGAUCCGGUGGUUCUGAAUGGAAGGGCCAUCGCUCAACGGAUAAAAGGUACUCCGGGGAUAACAGGCUGAUACCGCCCAAGAGUUCAUAUCGACGGCGGUGUUUGGCACCUCGAUGUCGGCUCAUCACAUCCUGGGGCUGAAGUAGGUCCCAAGGGUAUGGCUGUUCGCCAUUUAAAGUGGUACGCGAGCUGGGUUUAGAACGUCGUGAGACAGUUCGGUCCCUAUCUGCCGUGGGCGCUGGAGAACUGAGGGGGGCUGCUCCUAGUACGAGAGGACCGGAGUGGACGCAUCACUGGUGUUCGGGUUGUCAUGCCAAUGGCACUGCCCGGUAGCUAAAUGCGGAAGAGAUAAGUGCUGAAAGCAUCUAAGCACGAAACUUGCCCCGAGAUGAGUUCUCCCUGACUCCUUGAGAGUCCUGAAGGAACGUUGAAGACGACGACGUUGAUAGGCCGGGUGUGUAAGCGCAGCGAUGCGUUGAGCUAACCGGUACUAAUGAACCGUGAGGCUUAACCUU